AAAACCCUAACUCUAUUUAACCACCGCUUUUAGGUUUAGCGCGAACGAUCGGAAUCGACACAGACACAGUGAAAGAACGUCAGAAUCAGAAUCAGAAUCAGAAUCAGAAAAAUGGUGGGAUUAGCGUACGAUCUGCUAGCAAAUCCACAGGGAGCCGUCCGAUCAACAUUCGAGAAAGCAGUAGCUUCAUCAGGAUUGGAUUUCGAUCCAGCCUCACUGGACGGCAAGGACUGGGGCGCACUCGAUCUUUUCCGCCAAUUCCUCUCCGACCAAACCCACCUCUCUCAGGUUCCGAUUCUGAAUGGUGAAACUAUCAAAUGGGUUCAGCCCAAUACAUUGGUUCGGUUCCGAGGAAUGAUACAAGACAUGUUGGGUAAUGAAUUUUACGUUGGUGCUUUUAAGGAUGGUGAUGUUUGGAGAACCAACAAGUUUAUGGAUGUUUCUCACUUCCCUAUGCCUAUGGCUUCCACUUCUUCCCCUCAUAUGCGAGUUUGGGAACGCCGUUUACUUUAUUGCGUUCCUGUUCCGGGGCGGAAUUCUUGGACUGAACCAUCAUCUGAAUCGUUGGUGAAUCGAUGUGUGGAUUGCUCAUCCCAACAGAGAGAGAAGCGUCGGAGAAUGGAUGAUGAACCCGUUGAUCACAUGGAUAUGCUUGUCUCAGAUGAGGGAUUUCAAGGUUCCCCUAGUACCAAAAAGAUGAAAGAGGAUGGACACCCUUCCAUGUCUUCUCAGACUACAGAGCCUAUAAAUGAAGGCAUUUGCUCUCAUUUGAGUAUGGUACCCAGCAUUGACAGUGAUUCUCUUCCUUGUCUUGUUAAGAUAUAUGAUUCUCCAGAGUCUGACUUGAAACUGAAUGAUGUUUUUGAGUUCAUUGGAGUCCUCACAUUUGAUUCAGAGGUUUCAAUGGACAAGGAUGACCAGGAUGAGUUAUCUAAUGGUUUUAGUGAAGAUGUCUUGGUCCAUUUACCCCCUCACAAGGUGCCACGCCUCCAUUGUCUUAUUCACAGGAAGCUCACAGUUCCUGACUUUCUUCAUAGUUCCCCUAUUAUAGAGCUAAAGCCCCAUGUGGUUAAGGAAAUAAGGGAGGCUCUGUUGAGGCAUCUUACAGCUGUCCUGGGUGAUGAUAGUGUUGCUGCUCAUUUCAUGUUGUUGCAUCUUCUGUCCAGGGUGCAUACUAGAGUAGAAAAUAUUGCUGUGGGAAAGCUUUCACUAAAUCUCACUGGUUUUAGCAAAGAAAGUGUGUCUCUGUUUGGCCAUCGACUUAGCCUUGCUGUUAAAGACCUCCUACCUGUCACACAUUGCAUACCCCUUACAGUGGAGUAUCUUAACUCUGCCUCACUUGCCCCAAUAAAGGAUUAUGAGACAAACAGGCUGAUUACUGGAGUUCUGCAGCUAGCUGAGGGUUCACACUUAAUCGUUGAUGAGACCCAAUUGAAAGCAGGGACCCUCAACUCUGUUGGAGUGGAUAAUACAAGGUUGUUAAAAAAUCUGAUGGAGCUGCAGAAGGUGGAAUAUGAUUUUAAGUACUAUAAAAUGGAGAUGGCAGCUGAUGUCCAGUUGCUAAUUAUUUCUGAGGGGAAAUCAAACAUCUUGCCAGCUGAUAUAGUUAUACCAUUCCAGCCUACUUCAGUGGAUUCCUCUGAAGUAGUGGCUGCAGAAGCACUAGAAGCUUGGAGAUGGUAUUUGGCUACUGUUAAAUCAUUGCCACAUUCUAUUGAGUCAGAAAUGCAGAAGGUGGUAGAAAAUGACUUGGUUGAAGCAAGGCAAUCUGAUCGGAGCAUAGGGAGCCAAGAUUUUAACAGAUGGCUGACAAUGGGCCGGCUAAUGUCUGUUAGUUUUGGUGAAAACUGCCUGUCAUUGGAACACUGGCAGAUGGUAAAGGAACUGGAGAGACUACGCAGAGAGAGGCUCAAAUAAUGCACAUGACUUACUUAUUGAUAAUGGUUUGAACUGGUGUAAAUUGUAGCUCUGAUCUGUGGAUCAGGGUCUUCUUGGCUACCGACAACUCUCUAGAUUGCUCUUUCAGAGGAUAUUCAAGCUCUGUUAACCAAGCAUCUAUAUAACAUGCACUUGUUAGUCACAUCAGUGUAACACUUCGGUCUACUUUAGUUCAUUCAAUCCAUUUUGGUCCUAUUUCGGUUCA
RNA transcript from Quercus robur (English oak), 2143 nucleotides. It is a transcript of the gene named mini-chromosome maintenance complex-binding protein, with no coding region annotated. The record is from RefSeq and is a predicted model, not a curated record. The transcript has 14 exons. Lineage: Eukaryota; Viridiplantae; Streptophyta; Magnoliopsida; Fagales; Fagaceae.